This 497-nucleotide ribosomal RNA is filed under the name uncultured bacterium. Its description in RNAcentral is "partial 16S ribosomal RNA". It matches the Rfam family "Bacterial small subunit ribosomal RNA", at positions 28 to 506 of the family's 1533-position model. The record is from RNAcentral.
GAUGAACGCUGGCGGCGUACCUAAUACAUGCAAGUCGAGCGAACAGACGAGGAGCUUGCUCCUCUGACGUUAGCGGCGGACGGGUGAGUAACACGUGGAUAACCUACCUAUAAGACUGGGAUAACUUCGGGAAACCGGAGCUAAUACCGGAUAAUAUAUUGAACCGCAUGGUUCAAUAGUGAAAGACGGUUUUGCUGUCACUUAUAGAUGGAUCCGCGCCGCAUUAGCUAGUUGGUAAGGUAACGGCUUACCAAGGCGACGAUGCGUAGCCGACCUGAGGGGGGUGUCCGCCACCCCUGAACUUGAACCCCGGCCCGGCCCCCUACGGAGGCCACAAGUGGGAAUUCUUCGGAAAUGGGCGAAGCCCUACCGAAGAAACGCGGCGGGGGUGAUGAGGUUCUUUGGUUCGUAAAACCUUUUUAUUGGGGAAGACCAAAUGUGUAAGUACCUAUGACGUUUUGACGGGACCCUAACAAAAAAGCCCGGGCUACCUCCGU